RNAcentral lists this ribosomal RNA (160 nucleotides) under uncultured Streptococcus sp. RNAcentral describes it as "partial 16S ribosomal RNA". It matches the Rfam family "Bacterial small subunit ribosomal RNA", at positions 355 to 507 of the family's 1533-position model. The record is from RNAcentral. Lineage: Bacteria; Bacillati; Bacillota; Bacilli; Lactobacillales; Streptococcaceae.
UAGGGAAUUUUCGUCAAUGGGGGGAACCCUGAACGAGCAAUGCCGCGUGAGUGAAGACGGCUUUCGGACUGUAAAGCUCUGUUGUAAGAGAAAAACGGCCGACAUAGGGAAUGAUGUCGGAGUGAUGGUAUCUUACCAGAAAGUCACGGCUAACUACGUG